GCGAAGCUCUUGAUCGAAGCCCCGGUAAACGGCGGCCGUAACUAUAACGGUCCUAAGGUAGCGAAAUUCCUUGUCGGGUAAGUUCCGACCUGCACGAAUGGCGUAAUGAUGGCCAGGCUGUCUCCACCCGAGACUCAGUGAAAUUGAACUCGCUGUGAAGAUGCAGUGUACCCGCGGCAAGACGGAAAGACCCCGUGAACCUUUACUAUAGCUUGACACUGAACACUGGUCCUUGAUGUGUAGGAUAGGUGGGAGGCUUUGAAGCGUGGACGCCAGUCUGCGUGGAGCCGACCUUGAAAUACCACCCUUUAAUGGCUGGUGUUCUAACGUAGACCCGUAAUCCGGGUUGCGGACAGUGUCUGGUGGGUAGUUUGACUGGGGCGGUCUCCUCCCAAAGAGUAACGGAGGAGCACGAAGGUUAGCUAAUCCUGGUCGGACAUCAGGAGGUUAGUGCAAUGGCAUAAGCUAGCUUGACUGCGAGAGUGACGGCUCGAGCAGGUGCGAAAGCAGGUCAUAGUGAUCCGGUGGUUCUGAAUGGAAGGGCCAUCGCUCAACGGAUAAAAGGUACUCCGGGGAUAACAGGCUGAUACCGCCCAAGAGUUCAUAUCGACGGCGGUGUUUGGCACCUCGAUGUCGGCUCAUCACAUCCUGGGGCUGAAGUAGGUCCCAAGGGUAUGGCUGUUCGCCAUUUAAAGUGGUACGCGAGCUGGGUUUAGAACGUCGUGAGACAGUUCGGUCCCUAUCUGCCGUGGGCGCUGGAGAAUUGAGGGGGGCUGCUCCUAGUACGAGAGGACCGGAGUGGACGCAUCACUGGUGUUCGGGUUGUCAUGCCAAUGGCACUGCCCGGUAGCUAAAUGCGGAAGAGAUAAGUGCUGAAAGCAUCUAAGCACGAAACUUGCCCCGAGAUGAGUUCUCCCUGAGACUAUAAGUCUCCUGAAGGAACGUUGAAGACGACGACGUUGAUAGGUCGGGUGUGUAAGCGCAGCGAUGCGUUGAGCUAACCGAUACUAAUGAACCGUGAGGCUUAACCUU
This 1032-nucleotide ribosomal RNA is filed under the name Enterobacter cloacae UCI 24. RNAcentral describes it as "bacterial LSU rRNA". It matches the Rfam family "Bacterial large subunit ribosomal RNA", at positions 1899 to 2925 of the family's 2925-position model. The record is from RNAcentral. Lineage: Bacteria; Pseudomonadati; Pseudomonadota; Gammaproteobacteria; Enterobacterales; Enterobacteriaceae.